Long non-coding RNA from Myotis brandtii (Brandt's bat), 548 nucleotides. RefSeq lists it as uncharacterized. The record is from RefSeq and is a predicted model, not a curated record. NCBI's taxonomy places the organism in Eukaryota, Metazoa, Chordata, Mammalia, Chiroptera, Vespertilionidae. The transcript is spliced from 2 exons.
CAAGCCACACUCUGAACCCAGUUCCUUCACCUGGAAAAUGGGCGCAAAUCAUAGAAUCCCCAUCAAAUAUUGUUGAGAUGCCACUCAACACAGGGCCUGCCUGGCACACCAUAAAUGGGUUCUAGAGCUUGGUGCCAGCCCAUGGCAUUUGGACUAUUCAUGCCUCUUGCAGAUUGUGGAGUCCACCAGGACGGGGACAGAAUCCCGCCUUAUUUACUUCAGAUAUGUUUAAAAAGGAACAAUAUUACAGUACAGUUGAAGUCCUUGCGCCAAUUCCAUCUCCCUUUCUCCUUCCAAUGCCUGGAGUUUGGUAUUUAUCUUCCUCAUGAUGCUUUUUAUUCCAUUCGUACCUAUGUAUAAACAAUAUAGGAUACUGGGGCUUGGGGGCUUGUUUUUGAACUUCAUAUAAAUGGAAUCAUACAGUAUGUGCUUCUUUUGCUCAGCAUAAUGGCUGUGACGUUCAUCCAGAUUGUUGUGUGUAUCCAUAGUUCAUUCUUUUUUAUUAAGAUGUAAUUCACAUACCAUAAAAUUCACCCUUUUAAAGUAUA